UACGAAGGGGGCUAGCGUUGCUCGGAUUGACUGGGCGUAAAGGGCGCGUAGGCGGUUCGUACAGUCAGACGUGAAAUCCCUGGGCUCAACCUGGGAAUGGCAGUGGAUACUGGACGGCUAGAAUGCGGUAGAGGGUAGUGGAAUUCCCGGUGUAGCAGUGAAAUGCGUAGAGAUCGGGAGGAACACCAGUGGCGAAGGCGGCUACCUGGACCAGCAUUGACACUCAAGCACGAAAGCGUGGGGAGCAAACAGG
RNAcentral lists this ribosomal RNA (253 nucleotides) under uncultured bacterium. RNAcentral's name for it is "partial 16S ribosomal RNA". It matches the Rfam family "Bacterial small subunit ribosomal RNA", at positions 524 to 776 of the family's 1533-position model. The record is from RNAcentral.